Molecule: ribosomal RNA, 504 nt
Filed under: Triticum aestivum (bread wheat)
Lineage: Eukaryota; Viridiplantae; Streptophyta; Magnoliopsida; Poales; Poaceae
Description: partial small subunit ribosomal RNA
Source: RNAcentral
AUGGUGACAAAAGCAAGGAUGGGGAUGGGUGCCCUGACGACUCCAUGCAUGGGACUGAUCCUCGUUUUACUCAGUCUGAGUGGGAUGGGCUUUCUCCUGAAGAUCAAGAUUUGCUCAAGGAGAAUGCGCCUGCUAGUAAGGGGGCCCAGGAUGCGGCGCCUGGCGUGGGUGGAGGGGAUGCGGCUUCGGGUGGGGCUAAAGGCGUGCGACAGGCUCGCUGUGCAAGCGAAGGCCGCCACCCACAUCCGCUUCCUCGACGCCGGCGUCUGCAUCGGCCUCCUCUACCCCGUCUCCAACAUCAUGGCCAACACCCUCGUCACCUCCGACCUCCGCCCCGGCCUCAUGGACAAAGUCCCGGAGGAUACCAAGCCGGGAGAGAUGGACAAGCGCUCACUCGACGGCCUCGCGGCUUUCCUGAUCUACUUCUUCCCAUACCUUGCCGAGGGGAGGCCGUGCGGUACCUACUGGUCGCCGACGCCGACCCUCUCAUCGCUGCGCGCCUGA